This 514-nucleotide ribosomal RNA is filed under the name uncultured bacterium. RNAcentral describes it as "bacterial SSU rRNA". It matches the Rfam family "Bacterial small subunit ribosomal RNA", at positions 15 to 507 of the family's 1533-position model. The record is from RNAcentral.
GAUCCUGGCUCAGAGCGAACGUUAGCGGCGGGCCUAACACAUGCAAGUCGAACGCGAAAGGUCUUCGGACUGAGUAGAGUGGCGCACGGGUGAGUAACACGUAGGUAAUCUACCCUUUGGCGGGGGAUAACGUUCCGAAAGGAGCGCUAAUACCGCAUAAGACCACGGAGUCUCCGGACGCUGUGGGAAAAGGUGGCCUCUUCUUGAAAGCUACCACCGAAGGAUGAGCCUGCGUCCCAUCAGCUAGUUGGUAAGGUAAUGGCUUACCAAGGCGAAGACGGGUAGCUGGUUUGAGAGAAUGAUCAGCCACACUGGCACUGGAACACGGGCCAGACUCCUACGGGAGGCAGCAGUGAGGAAUAUUGGGCAAUGGGCGAAAGCCUGACCCAGCCACGCCGCGUGAGUGAUGAAGGCCCUCGGGUCGUAAAGCUCUGUGGAGAGGGACGAAAACCCUGGUUUCAAAUAGGCUCCAGGCUUGACGGUACCUCUUUAGCAAGCACCGGCUAACUCUGUG